GCUAACUCUACUUCUAUUUAAGCAAUCUGAGCCUUUAAUAGCUUUAUCGUUGAUUCUUUUUGCUAACAAUUUUUGUCCAAACCUUUUUGAUGAAUAAUUGCUCUAAGGUUACUGUCAAGUUGGCUGAUUCUUGACUAGAGAUUCUGAUAGAGGUUAUUAACUUGACUUGACAAGGCAUCAACUUUUGUUCCAAUGGUUGGACAAAAGAACGGCCACCUCUUGGAUAGGAUCAACAUUAUGGCAGAGAGGGGAAACUCUUCCUCAUAAGUUUCUUAAGAGGAGGAGAACAUCAUACAAGUAGAUACCAGUGGUAAGAUAGGAAGGGGAGAUGGCUUUAGCUCUUUUACUUUCUCGUCUUAAAAUCUCCAAAGCUCUUCCAUAGAUCAACAAGGGAUUUCUUUUUGCAACCCCUUUAUAGAUAUCGAUCCAAGGACCAGAGACUGGUGAAGAGUUCCUUGGAAUAUACCUUUUGCAUGGAGAACGAAAUGGUAUUUCUUGACCCGUGAUUAAAGAUUUCAUCAGUCACUUUGUCGUUUUCACAGUUACAUCCUUUAUCGCACAUAUAGGAUCCUGGAACAUCCUAAAUAAAGUGACCAUUAAUUUUAUCCGUGUAGAUGCGAGUCCCGUUUGUCUUAA
This 636-nucleotide unclassified non-coding RNA is filed under the name Hevea brasiliensis (rubber tree). The record is from RNAcentral. Lineage: Eukaryota; Viridiplantae; Streptophyta; Magnoliopsida; Malpighiales; Euphorbiaceae.